Molecule: long non-coding RNA, 1222 nt
Filed under: Bos indicus x Bos taurus (hybrid cattle)
Lineage: Eukaryota; Metazoa; Chordata; Mammalia; Artiodactyla; Bovidae
Description: lncRNA (ENSBIXG00005006980.1)
Source: RNAcentral
UUGAAAGUGGGGCUGUGGCACGUUCAGUUCAGUUGAGUUCAGUUCAGUCCCUCAGUCAUGUCCGACUCUUUGCGACCCCAUGAAUCGCAGCACGCCAGGCCUCCCUGUCCAUCACCAACUCCCGGAGUUCACCCAGACUCACGUCCAUCGAAUCAGUGAUGCCAUUCAGCCAUCUCAUCCUCUGCCUUCCCCUUCUCCUCCUGCCCCCAAUCCCUCCCAGCAUCAGAGUCUUUUUCAAUGUGUCAACUCUUCUCAUGAGGUGGCCAAAGUACUGGAGUUUCAGCUUUAGCAUCAUUCCUUCCAAAGAAAUCCCAGGGACUGAUCUCCUUCAGAAUGGACUGGUUGCAUCUCCUUGCAGUCCAAGGGACUCUCAAGAGUCUUCUCCAACACCACAGUUCAAAAGCAUCAAUUCUUUGGCACAGGGAAACGCAAAGGUUGUGGAUGCAUAAGAAAGACUGCACUGGAAGGAAAAAAAUAUAGUCUUCAAGCCCCUUUCUCAUCCACCAGAGACGCUGCGGUUCCAGGACUCCACCUCAAUGGCGGGAAAACCGCAACCUGCACUGCUGCUGCUAAGUCACUUCAGUCGUGCCCGACUCUGUGCGACCCCAUAGACGGCAGCCCACCAGGCUCCCCUGUCCCUGGGAUUCUCCAGGCAAGAACACUGGAGUGGGUUGCCAUUUCCUUCUCCAAUGCAUGAGAGUGAAAAAUGAAAGUGAAGUUGCUCAGUCGUGUCCGACUCUUAGCGACCCCAUGGACUGUGUAGCCCACCAGGCUCCUCCAUCCAUGGGAUUUUCCAGGCAAGAGUACUAGAGUGGGGUGCCAUUGCCUUCUCCGGCAACCUGCACUGCACACGCCCAACUCAGUGAGCAUGCGCAGUGUGUGCGGGCGCAUCCGUUGCUGCGCAUGCGCCUUGGUGCGCAUACGCCUUCCUGAGCGAUCUGUGAGGAGCGUUGGGCGUGAGACGGGUCUGUUUAUUCAGUCCCGGUUCUUUCUCACUACUUGAGACUCACCAGGUAGGUUCACAGGUCUGUCCUGUCUGGAAUUUAAGUGUGUGUGCGUGCGAGGGUAGCCAGUGAGUUUCGCGCUGGUCGGGCAGUGCCAUCUAGGGCCUUUGAGGAGGAAGGCCCUCAAGGUAGUCAUCUUUCUCCUCACAAGUGUUGCGACGCCAUACUUCUUGCCUUGGUGGGCGGAGAGGAAGGGCAGUGGGCAGAGGAGGGCAGGC